UUCAACCCCCUCACUUCAGCACCC
This 24-nucleotide non-coding RNA is filed under the name Rattus norvegicus (Norway rat). The record is from RNAcentral. Lineage: Eukaryota; Metazoa; Chordata; Mammalia; Rodentia; Muridae.